This 202-nucleotide long non-coding RNA is filed under the name Elaeis guineensis (African oil palm). RNAcentral's name for it is "long non-coding RNA (EGUI_LNC078322)". The record is from RNAcentral. Lineage: Eukaryota; Viridiplantae; Streptophyta; Magnoliopsida; Arecales; Arecaceae.
CCCUUGGUGCCUGUCUGACAUGCAAUUUUUUGUUCUUAUCGGUCAAGCUGAUGGAGACAGGCAUAAAUGAGCUCGCUCCAUCAAGCAUUCCGGACUCAUUUGGUUCUUGGGAAAAAUUUAUUUUUUAAAAAAUUAUUUUUUGGGAAGAACUUCCUAAGAAGUUACUUCUUGAGAAUAGAAUUUUAGUAUAUUUUGUUGACCA